AUUGAACGCUGGCGGCAGGCCUAACACAUGCAAGUCGGACGGUAGCACAGAGAGCUUGCUCUCGGGUGACGAGUGGCGGACGGGUGAGUAAUGUCUGGGGAUCUGCCCGAUAGAGGGGGAUAACCACUGGAAACGGUGGCUAAUACCGCAUAACGUCGCAAGACCAAAGAGGGGGACCUUCGGGCCUCUCACUAUCGGAUGAACCCAGAUGGGAUUAGCUAGUAGGCGGGGUAAUGGCCCACCUAGGCGACGAUCCCUAGCUGGUCUGAGAGGAUGACCAGCCACACUGGAACUGAGACACGGUCAGACUCCUACGGGAGGCAGCAGUGGGGAAUAUUGCACAAUGGGCGCAAGCCUGAUGCAGCCAUGCCGCGUGUAUGAAGAAGGCCCUCGGGUUGUAAAGUACUUUCAGCGGGGAGGAAGGCGGUGCGGUUAAUAACCGCGCCGACUGACGUUACCCGCAGAAGAAGCACCGGCUAACUCCGUGCCAGCCGCCGCCGUAA
RNAcentral lists this ribosomal RNA (503 nucleotides) under uncultured bacterium. RNAcentral's name for it is "partial 16S ribosomal RNA". It matches the Rfam family "Bacterial small subunit ribosomal RNA", at positions 29 to 523 of the family's 1533-position model. The record is from RNAcentral.